Long non-coding RNA from Canis lupus familiaris (dog), 1292 nucleotides. RefSeq lists it as uncharacterized. Lineage: Eukaryota; Metazoa; Chordata; Mammalia; Carnivora; Canidae. The record is from RefSeq and is a predicted model, not a curated record. The transcript has 4 exons.
UUUGCUGCUGGGCAUGCUCUCUCUUUCCUGGGGGCUGCUGAGUCACAGGGAUGGCAAACUAUGGGUGUCAGAUGACCCUUGUGAUGGGCGUCAAGAGAAAUCUUAAUCUUUGAGAUAUGGAGAAAGAUGGAGACCUGGUGACAUCAUUUGAACUCCUAGAUCUUGAUGUACCUGAAGCUGGCCCCACUGUAAAGUUUUCAGACCCCCAGAGGCUGGAACAGCCUGGGCCACCAGUGUCUCUAGCCAGGUGGAUCGAACUGGUUCCAGCUCAGAGGCAACUUCUGUCCAAGUCCGGGCCGAGAUUUCUACUUGGAGAAGAUCCCCAUGGUUGGGCUGGCUGAGGACCCAAUUCGGAAUCUCUGACUAAUCCCAGCUGUCCGACCUCUAGUCCCUGAGUGCAAGGGAGCAGCUGGCAUAAUCUUCCUCCCCAAGGUUCUCCUUGGCCGUGCCUAUGUGAGAGCCUCCACACCCAGUGCGGAGCCCAAUGUGGGGCUUGAACUCACAACCCUGAGAUCAAGACCUGAGCUGAGAUCGAGCAAGAGUCGGAUGCUUAACCCACUGAGCCAGUCGGAUGCCCCUUCUACUGUGUUUUAUUCCGUGACGCUCCGGAACAGAGCCCUUCUGGAGGAAAGGUUUGCUCGUCUCCCUCAUAGGCGGCUAGAAUGCCCUAAAAAGCCUGCCUUCCAACGGUGAGUCUGGGCUGGUCUGCUGCCCCAGCUCAUCCCCAGCCCAUCUUUCCAGGAAGCUGGGGGUGGGGGCGAUCCCAGAGGGGCACCCAGCUUCCAGGGAUGGCUGCAGGAUGCCAGAGGAGAAGCCACAGGACCGGGGUGGGGGGUGUUCUCUUGCAGGGGCAGGCAUAUCCAAGAUGCUCCUCUUUCCUACUUUCUUGUAAGUGGAUAAGACCUUGGGCAUGUGUGGGCUCUAGCACAGUUCCAGGCAUUGCCCCACACCCAGUCCUUUCAGUCUUUGCAACACCAUGAGCCUAGCUGGAAGGUAUCACUAUUCCCACUUCACAGAAGAGGAAAUUGAGGCUCUCAAAGGUGUCUGGAGUCACAGGAUCAGGGACUGGUGCUGUGAAGUGCAAACCCCAGCCUUCCCGCCCCCUUGCCUGGGUCUGUCUGCACUUCUGCGGGUGACCGUGGGCCUCCCCCUGCAGCGGGCCAGCCUGGGAGCUUCCUGAAUUCCACCACCAUUCCUGGCUCUGUGGUGAGGACUCCCUGCUUGUGAUCAUUCCUGUCUCCGGUCCUCUGGAGGACUCAGAAGCGAGAGGGGUGCAGGGGCUGGGGCUGGGU